GUGGAUCAAUUAUGGGCAUUUCUGUGCU
RNAcentral lists this non-coding RNA (28 nucleotides) under Rattus norvegicus (Norway rat). The record is from RNAcentral. Lineage: Eukaryota; Metazoa; Chordata; Mammalia; Rodentia; Muridae.